GAGCUUGCCGAGAUGAUUUUAGUGCUUGCACUAAAUGAAACUAGAUACAAGCGAGCGGCGGACGGGUGAGUAACACGUGGGUAACCUGCCCAAGAGACUGGGAUAACACCUGGAAACAGAUGCUAAUACCGGAUAACAACACUAGACGCAUGUCUAGAGUUUGAAAGAUGGUUCUGCUAUCACUCUUGGAUGGACCUGCGGUGCAUUAGCUAGUUGGUAAGGUAACGGCUUACCAAGGCAAUGAUGCAUAGCCGAGUUGAGAGACUGAUCGGCCACAUUGGGACUGAGACACGGCCCAAACUCCUACGGGAGGCAGCAGUAGGGAAUCUUCCACAAUGGACGAAAGUCUGAUGGAGCAACGCCGCGUGAGUGAAGAAGGGUUUCGGCUCGUAAAGCUCUGUUGGUAGUGAAGAAAGAUAGAGGUAGUAACUGGCCUUUAUUUGACGGUAAUUACUUAGAAAGUCACGGCUAACUACGUGCCAGCAGCCGCGGUAAUACGUAGGUGGCAAGCGUUGUCCGGAUUUAUUGGGCGUAAAGCGAGUGCAGGCGGUUCAAUAAGUCUGAUGUGAAAGCCUUCGGCUCAACCGGAGAAUUGCAUCAGAAACUGUUGAACUUGAGUGCAGAAGAGGAGAGUGGAACUCCAUGUGUAGCGGUGGAAUGCGUAGAUAUAUGGAAGAACACCAGUGGCGAAGGCGGCUCUCUGGUCUGCAACUGACGCUGAGGCUCGAAAGCAUGGGUAGCGAACAGGAUUAGAUACCCUGGUAGUCCAUGCCGUAAACGAUGAGUGCUAAGUGUUGGGAGGUUUCCGCCUCUCAGUGCUGCAGCUAACGCAUUAAGCACUCCGCCUGGGGAGUACGACCGCAAGGUUGAAACU
Molecule: ribosomal RNA, 874 nt
Filed under: uncultured bacterium
Lineage: Bacteria
Description: bacterial SSU rRNA
Rfam family: Bacterial small subunit ribosomal RNA
Source: RNAcentral